Molecule: ribosomal RNA, 253 nt
Filed under: uncultured bacterium
Lineage: Bacteria
Description: partial 16S ribosomal RNA
Rfam family: Bacterial small subunit ribosomal RNA
Source: RNAcentral
UACGGAGGGGGCUAGCGUUGUUCGGAAUUACUGGGCGUAAAGCGCACGUAGGCGGACCAGAAAGUUGGGGGUGAAAUCCCGGGGCUCAACCUCGGAACUGCCUUCAAAACUAUUGGUCUUGAGUUCGAGAGAGGUGAGUGGAAUUCCGAGUGUAGAGGUGAAAUUCGUAGAUAUUCGGAGGAACACCAGUGGCGAAGGCGGCUCACUGGCUCGACACUGACGCUGAGGUGCGAAAGCGUGGGGAGCAAACAGG